RNAcentral lists this long non-coding RNA (340 nucleotides) under Medicago truncatula (barrel medic). RNAcentral's name for it is "long non-coding RNA (MTRU_LNC001011)". Lineage: Eukaryota; Viridiplantae; Streptophyta; Magnoliopsida; Fabales; Fabaceae. The record is from RNAcentral.
GGGAGAAUUGAGGUGGUCCUUCUUUGUCGUAAUUAAGUACACACAGCACACACACACACACACAUGAAUGACAUGGUAAGCGUGACACUUUGUUCAUUCUUAAUUAAUAUUCUAUGAGAUAAUAAUAACUCAUUAUUAUAAUUAUUAUUCAAGUAUGCAACCCUGAACAGUGAACCCUUCUUCAAGUACAGGCAGCAGUAGAAGCUUUUGCAGUGGCCGUGCACGGUGGUGAUACACGGUGGUCUUCUUUGUUGGUGAAGGCAAUCUUCCACUUUUCUUUUCUCUUGUCUUGUUUUAUUUGUUGCUCCCUGCACUCCAAACUGCAAAAUGCUGUAUCUCC